This 936-nucleotide ribosomal RNA is filed under the name Dictyocheirospora rotunda. Its description in RNAcentral is "eukaryotic LSU rRNA". It matches the Rfam family "Eukaryotic large subunit ribosomal RNA", at positions 81 to 1056 of the family's 3401-position model. Lineage: Eukaryota; Fungi; Ascomycota; Dothideomycetes; Pleosporales; Dictyosporiaceae. The record is from RNAcentral.
UAGUAACGGCGAGUGAAGCGGCAACAGCUCAAAUUUGAAAUCUGGCCUUCUUUGGGGGUCCGAGUUGUAAUUUGCAGAGGGCGCUUUGGCGUCGGCAGCGGUCUAAGUUCCUUGGAACAGGACGUCACAGAGGGUGAGAAUCCCGUACGUGGUCGCCUGCCUUCGCCGUGUAAAGCCCCUUCGACGAGUCGAGUUGUUUGGGAAUGCAGCUCUAAAUGGGAGGUAAAUUUCUUCUAAAGCUAAAUACUGGCCAGAGACCGAUAGCGCACAAGUAGAGUGAUCGAAAGAUGAAAAGCACUUUGGAAAGAGAGUCAAACAGCACGUGAAAUUGUUGAAAGGGAAGCGCUUGCCGCCAGACUUGCCCGUGAAGGUUCUCCUCCUCGGGCAGGCCAGCAUCAGUUUGAGCGAUCGGAUAAUGGCCUCUGUCAUGUAUCUUCCUUCGGGAUGACCUUAUAGGGGAGUCGUAGUACGGUCAGCUCGGACUGAGGUCCGCGCAUUUGCUAGGAUGCUGGCGUAAUGGCUGCAAGCGGCCCGUCUUGAAACACGGACCAAGGAGUCUAACAUCUAUGCGAGUGUUUGGGUGUCAAGCCCGAGCGCGCAAUGAAAGUGAACGGAGGUGGGAACCCUCUCUGGGGGUGCACCAUCGACCGAUCCUGAAGUCUUCGGAUGGAUUUGAGUAAGAGCAUGGCUGUUGGGACCCGAAAGAUGGUGAACUAUGCUUGAAUAGGGUGAAGCCAGAGGAAACUCUGGUGGAGGCUCGCAGCGGUUCUGACGUGCAAAUCGAUCGUCAAAUUUGGGCAUAGGGGCGAAAGACUAAUCGAACUAUCUAGUAGCUGGUUCCUGCCGAAGUUCCCUCAGGAUAGCAGUAACGUAUUCAGUUUUAUGAGGUAAAGCGAAUGAUUAAAGGCCUGGGGGUUGAAACAACCUUCACCUAUU